GACGAACGCUGGCGGUGUGCUUAACACAUGCAAGUCGAACGGAAAGGCCCUGCUUUUGUGGGGUGCUCGAGUGGCGAACGGGUGAGUAACACGUGAGUAACCUGCCCUUGACUUUGGGAUAACUUCAGGAAACUGGGGCUAAUACCGGAUAGGAGCUCCUGCUGCAUGGUGGGGGUUGGAAAGUUUCGGCGGUUGGGGAUGGGCUCGCGGCUUAUCAGCUUGUUGGUGGGGUAGUGGCUUACCAAGGCUUUGACGGGUAGCCGGCCUGAGAGGGUGACCGGCCACAUUGGGACUGGGAUACGGCCCAGACUCCUACGGGAGGCAGCAGUGGGGAAUAUUGCACAAUGGGCGGAAGCCUGAUGCAGCAACGCCGCGUGCGGGAUGACGGCCUUCGGGUUGUAAACCGCUUUCGCCUGUGACGAAGCGUGAGUGACGGUAAUGGGUAAAGAAGCACCGGCUAACUACGUG
This 468-nucleotide ribosomal RNA is filed under the name uncultured bacterium. RNAcentral's name for it is "partial 16S ribosomal RNA". It matches the Rfam family "Bacterial small subunit ribosomal RNA", at positions 28 to 507 of the family's 1533-position model. The record is from RNAcentral.